Passer domesticus (house sparrow) is the source of this 394-nucleotide long non-coding RNA. RefSeq lists it as uncharacterized. NCBI's taxonomy places the organism in Eukaryota, Metazoa, Chordata, Aves, Passeriformes, Passeridae. The transcript is spliced from 4 exons. The record is from RefSeq and is a predicted model, not a curated record.
GCCCUGGCACACAAUGGAAACAGUUCUCAUCUUGGUUUGCUUCCAGACUGGGAUGCUGGGAAGGAUUCUCCAUUAGCCUGGCGCUCUGAAGUUGUGAAGCCCUCCGAGCAUUCUUCAGAUAUAUCUGGAGCAAUGACUGCACCAACUCCUACCUUGGAUGCUGCACAAAAGCCCAGCUCCCAUGGCAGGGGUCCUCUGACAGGAGAGACCAAAGACAUGGCAGGCAAGAAAUACCAGGACCCAUUAGAAAUCAUGUGGCAAAUGCUGAAGGAAUGUCUGCAGAGAAGACAAGAAAUGAACAGAGAACCUGUGCAGAAAGAAGCAUUUCCCGGAGGAAGCAGUGGUUGCAUGCCAGCCUCAGCUCCAGGAAGGGAGGCCAUGCCAGGCACAGGCA